This is a non-coding RNA of Trichonephila clavata, 71 nucleotides long. NCBI's taxonomy places the organism in Eukaryota, Metazoa, Arthropoda, Arachnida, Araneae, Nephilidae. The record is from the annotation of a GenBank genome assembly.
GCCAUUAAAGCUCAGUGGCAGAGCCCUGGUCUCUUUAAGCAGAGUAGUGAGUUCUAUCCUUACUGGUGGCU